This 460-nucleotide ribosomal RNA is filed under the name uncultured bacterium. Its description in RNAcentral is "partial 16S ribosomal RNA". It matches the Rfam family "Bacterial small subunit ribosomal RNA", at positions 338 to 795 of the family's 1533-position model. The record is from RNAcentral.
CCUACGGGAGGCAGCAGUGAGGAAUAUUGGUCAAUGGACGAGAGUCUGAACCAGCCAAGUAGCGUGAAGGAUGACUGCCCUAUGGGUUGUAAACUUCUUUUAUAUGGGAAUAAAACGUUCCACGUGUGGGAUUUUGUAUGUACCAUAUGAAUAAGGAUCGGCUAACUCCGUGCCAGCAGCCGCGGUAAUACGGAGGAUCCGAGCGUUAUCCGGAUUUAUUGGGUUUAAAGGGAGCGUAGGUGGAUUGUUAAGUCAGUUGUGAAAGUUUGCGGCUCAACCGUAAAAUUGCAGUUGAAACUGGCAGUCUUGAGUACAGUAGAGGUGGGCGGAAUUCGUGGUGUAGCGGUGAAAUGCUUAGAUACCACGAAGAACUCCGAUUGCGAAGGCAGUUCACUGGACUGCAACUGACACUGAGGCUCGAAAGUGUGGGUAUCAAACAGGAGUAGAUACCCGGGUAGUC